This 314-nucleotide ribosomal RNA is filed under the name uncultured eukaryote. Its description in RNAcentral is "partial 18S ribosomal RNA". It matches the Rfam family "Eukaryotic small subunit ribosomal RNA", at positions 1470 to 1796 of the family's 1831-position model. The record is from RNAcentral.
CCCUUAGAUGUCCUGGGCCGCACGCGUGCUACACUGAUGCAUACAGCGAGUACUCCCAGCUCCGCGAGGCUGCUGGUAAUCAGCAAUAUGCAUCGUGAUGGGGAUAGAUCUUUGGAAUUAUAGAUCUUGAACGAGGAAUUCCUAGUAAACGCAAGUCAUCACCUUGCGUUGACUAAGUCCCUGCCCUUUGUACACACCGCCCGUCGCUCCUACCGAUUUCGAGUGAUCCGGUGAAUCAUUCGGACCGUGUGGGCUUGACCUAACGUGGAAAGUCUAGUAAACCAUAUCACUUAGAGGAAGGAGAAGUCGUAACA